AUACGUAGGGUGCGAGCGUUGUCCGGAUUUAUUGGGUUUAAAGGGUGCGUAGGCGGGGAGAUAAGUCAGCCUUUAAAGCCAGCCGCUUAACGGUUCGGUAGGGGGCUGAUACUGUUUUCUUGAGAGGGCUCGGCGCUGGCGGAAUUUGUGGUGUAGCGGUGAAAUGCAUAGAUACCACAAGGAACACCGAUCGCGUAGGCAGCUAGCGAGGGCCUUUCUGACGCUGAGGCACGAAAGUGCGGGGAGC
Molecule: ribosomal RNA, 247 nt
Filed under: uncultured bacterium
Lineage: Bacteria
Description: partial 16S ribosomal RNA
Rfam family: Bacterial small subunit ribosomal RNA
Source: RNAcentral